GAUGAACGCUGGCGGCGUGCCUAAUACAUGCAAGUCGAGCGAACAGACGAGGAGCUUGCUCCUCUGACGUUAGCGGCGGACGGGUGAGUAACACGUGGAUAACCUACCUAUAAGACUGGGAUAACUUCGGGAAACCGGAGCUAAUACCGGAUAAUAUAUUGAACCGCAUGGUUCAAUAGUGAAAGACGGUUUUGCUGUCACUUAUAGAUGGAUCCGCGCCGCAUUAGCUAGUUGGUAAGGUAACGGCUUACCAAGGCAACGAUGCGUAGCCGACCUGAGAGAGUGAUCGGCCACACUGGAACUGAGACACGGUCCAGACUCCUACGGGAGGCAGCAGUAGGGAAUCGUCCGCAAUGGGCGAAAGCCUGACGGAGCAACGCCGCGUGAGUGAUGAAGGUCUUCGGAUCGUAAAACUCUGUUAUUAGGGAAGAACAAAUGUGUAAGUAACUAUGCACGUCUUGACGGUACCUAAUCAGAAAGCCACGGCUAACUACGUG
RNAcentral lists this ribosomal RNA (497 nucleotides) under uncultured bacterium. RNAcentral's name for it is "partial 16S ribosomal RNA". It matches the Rfam family "Bacterial small subunit ribosomal RNA", at positions 28 to 507 of the family's 1533-position model. The record is from RNAcentral.